This 233-nucleotide ribosomal RNA is filed under the name uncultured bacterium. RNAcentral describes it as "partial 16S ribosomal RNA". It matches the Rfam family "Bacterial small subunit ribosomal RNA", at positions 118 to 351 of the family's 1533-position model. The record is from RNAcentral.
UGAGCAAUCUGCCCUUCUCAUCGGAAUAAGCGUUGGAAACGACGUCUAAUGCCGAAUACGACCUCCUUUCGCAUGAUCGGAGGUGGAAAGCUCCGGCGGAGAAGGAUGAGCUCGCGGCCUAUCAGCUAGUUGGUGUGGGUAAUGGCCCACAAGGCGACGACGGGUAGCCGGCCUGAGAGGGUGACCGGCCACACUGGGACUGAGACACGGCCCAGACUCCGUACGGGANACAG